GUCCAGACUCCUACGGGAGGCAGUAGUGGGGGAUAUUGCACAAUGGGGGGAACCCUGAUGCAGCGACGCCGCGUGGGUGAAGGAGUAUUUCGGUAUGUAAAGCCCUAUCGGCAGGGAAGAAGCAAGACGGUACCUGACUAAGAAGCCCCGGCUAACUACGUGCCAGCAGCCGCGGUAAUACGUAGGGGGCAAGCGUUAUCCGGAUUUACUGGGUGUAAAGGGAGCGUAGGCGGUUUAGCAAGUCAGAAGUGAAAGCCCGGGGCUCAACUCCGGGACUGCUUUUGAAACUGUUGAACUAGAUUGCAGGAGAGGUAAGUGGAAUUCCUAGUGUAGCGGUGAAAUGCGUAGAUAUUAGGAGGAACACCAGUGGCGAAGGCGGCUUACUGGACUGUAAAUGACGCUGAGGCUCGAAAGCGUGGGGAGCAAACAGGAUUAGAUACCCUAGUAC
Molecule: ribosomal RNA, 448 nt
Filed under: uncultured bacterium
Lineage: Bacteria
Description: partial 16S ribosomal RNA
Rfam family: Bacterial small subunit ribosomal RNA
Source: RNAcentral